GCCCAGAUGGCGGAAUUGGUAGACGCACUAGUUUCAGGUACUAGCGCUUCACGGCGUGGAGGUUCGAGUCCUCUUCUGGGCACCA
RNAcentral lists this transfer RNA (85 nucleotides) under Devosia sp. Its description in RNAcentral is "tRNA-Leu". It matches the Rfam family "tRNA". From Rfam's summary of the family: Transfer RNA (tRNA) molecules are approximately 80 nucleotides in length. Their secondary structure includes four short double-helical elements and three loops (D, anti-codon, and T loops). The record is from RNAcentral. Lineage: Bacteria; Pseudomonadati; Pseudomonadota; Alphaproteobacteria; Hyphomicrobiales; Devosiaceae. RNAcentral also lists the same sequence under 3 other names.